Molecule: ribosomal RNA, 394 nt
Filed under: uncultured bacterium
Lineage: Bacteria
Description: bacterial SSU rRNA
Rfam family: Bacterial small subunit ribosomal RNA
Source: RNAcentral
GACGAACGCUGGCGGCGUGCUUAACACAUGCAAGUCGAGCGGUAAGGCCCUUUCGGGGGGUACACGAGCGGCGAACGGGUGAGUAACACGUGGGUGACCUGCCCUCAGCUCUGGGAUAAGCCUGGGAAACCGGGUCUAAUACUGGAUAUGACUCCAUGACGCAUGUUGUGGGGUGGAAAGCCUUGUGCGGCUGAGGAUGGGCCCGCGGCCUAUCAGCUUGUUGGUGGGGUGAUGGCCUACCAAGGCGACGACGGGUAGCCGGCCUGAGAGGGCGACCGGCCACACUGGGACUGAGACACGGCCCAGACUCCUACGGGAGGCAGCAGUGGGGAAUCUUGCGCAAUGGGCGAAAGCCUGACGCAGCGACGCCGCGUGAGGGAUGACGGCCUCGGUU